Molecule: unclassified non-coding RNA, 4804 nt
Filed under: Hevea brasiliensis (rubber tree)
Lineage: Eukaryota; Viridiplantae; Streptophyta; Magnoliopsida; Malpighiales; Euphorbiaceae
Source: RNAcentral
ACCCAACUUUCAGUUCGGAGAGUGAGUUAAAUUUGCAGGACCCCACCACGUGGGGAGCAACAUCCGCUUGCCGCAUGAAAGGUCCUGUCACCUUCCCAUGUGGUGGGCUUGGCCCCAAAUCAGACCUUGUUGAUUUCCGAUUCCGUUCAAAGGGUCAAGCCAAACAACAAAUUUUUGCUGUCAAUGGCGGGGAAAGCUGAUAGACCACUAGAACAGGAGCGAGCAGUCAUUUGGAGUUUGCACACUCGGUAUUAUGCAUUUGUAGACUGGAGUGGAGAUGAUGUUUUGAUCUCGCUUUCGCUAGUUCAACUGCAGGGCCAUUCAUGGAAGAGUAGGCCAUUGUAAGUCUUCAACUCGUGUAUUCAAGCAUUAGCUUUCAAUAAUUUCAUUCCCAGAAGUUCUUCUUUUCACCAAUUAUUAGAUGUAGACAUUAUUCUAGGACAUUAAAAAAUAGAAUCUUCCUCCUACCUUAAAUGGAAUAUAAUUGGACAAACUAACAUACCUCCAAGCUGAUCAAACGUAAUAGCAACAGGCCCAGUCACAGCAAACUUUCUGCAAGGCAGGGUCGUGUUAUGGACCAAUCAGGACCGAUCAGCGACAGUUUCAAAGCACCCAAUAAUAACUGGAGGUAAAUGCUACAUCUUUCAAAUUAGAUACAGCUAAAGAAAAGCUCUUCGAUCACAUAUUCAUUGAUACCAAGAGCUCAGCACAUCAAGUCAUCUUUCAAACCGAUUGCAAUCAAAUACAACUGCAAUCAUUUCAAUUAAACACAACUAUGGGAUAUGUCUCUACUUCUCUAACCAACUCCGUAAUACUUACAAAAUCUCUUUCUCCCUCUCUGUGUUGUAUUCAUAAGGUGCAGCCAAUCAAAAUGCAUACCAUCUUCAGUGGGGCACAAGGAAUGAUUGAGAGGUGAAGCAUGUGCUUUUAAUGUUGACCAUCACAAAUUUAACUAGCCUUCAUCUCAAUAUCGCCACCAUCCUCCACCACAACGGUAUCAGAGGUAUCCGAGGGAAGAAGCCCUAGGAGUGGCAAAGGCAGCAAUGAAGUGAGAUUGCAAAGAAUAAUCAAAAAGGCUAAGUUGUCAAAGCUGUCCUUUGUAACUCCAAAAAGCUGGGUUAGACCAGCACCGAUCAGCCCUCCAAGAACACUUCCUCCAUUUGAAAUGGACAUGAGAGUCGCAAAAAGUGUUGCUUCCAUCCCUUCUGGACAUAAUUUGGCAGCUAGCACAAGAACGGGCAUAAAAGAAGCCUGAGCAAGAACAGUCAGAAUCAAAGAAUCCCCAAUCGCAAACCACUCAUCGCUUAUGCCAAAUUUACGGUUAAGUCCAGUAACAAGGAAAACCUGAGCCAAAAACACAACAAAAUUGAACAAUAACAGAAAGCCCAUAAACACAAUUAGUUCACAGGAGAGCCUUCUACAAAGGGAAAUCACAAUACAAACCUGAGUCAUCCCAAGAGCUGUACCACUUACGGUGGUAAAAACAAAAAUCUUCCGCAAAGGAACAUUUUUCAGAAAGCCAUUAUAAAGUCCAACCCCAACCAAUGAUGCAAUUGAGGUGACAAGCUUGACACGUCCUAGAAAUUCUGGGGUGAAACCAAGUUUAUUUGUGCUGAAAACAAAGAUUAUGUUGCUGCAGAUGCAGAUUAUGUAGAUUGUGUAAUCAAUUAAAGAAAUUCCAAAACCAUGAAACAGAAUUAAAGAAUAACUACCACAGUCAACAUCUGCACGUAUGUAAAGUAAAACAAAGCAGAGUCCGAUUGUGGUGUUGCCUGCCAGAGAAAAAUAAAUAACGUGGGAAGAAAUACAUUGGGCUGCUUGACUGCAUCCCACAACAGAAUAAUAUGCUGCUUUGAGCUUUCCAGAAAGCCAAGAUCAUUCAAAGCAAGAUUCUGUCCUCUUGCUGGACCAAGAAUGUGCUGUUCUUUCACAAGAACAGCAACUGCUGAAGUUAUCAAUGGUAGCAAUGCUGUGACCCCAAAAACAAACCUGAGACACUAAACUCGGAUUGCAAUGAUAUAUUUGAGAGUCAUUAAUCUAGGAAAUUAAAUUUAUGCACAGCUGCAUCAAGCACCUUACACCAUAAGCAUCCACCAGAAAGCCACUGAAGUAGGAGCUCACAAUUCCAUCAAAAGCUGAAGAAACCCAACAUAAAGACUGAAGUGAACCUGAAAAGCUUUGUGACUCACCACGAGACCUCUCUACCACCAUGGACACAGCCAUUUGAAAUGUACAAUCAUCACUCAUCCUAUCCUUGCCUCUCUUCCACCAAAGUAUGGAGCUCUGUCCUGCUAGUGUUGGAAGUAAUCAUCAGAAAAUAAGAUUCACACAUCACAUUUCUCAUUGCAUGCAUUGCCAUAUCUCUACAUUAAAAGACGUGCAAAUACUUAGCAUACAUUUAGGCUAAUCCAAAUAUCUACCAAUGAUAAGCAGGCACAGAAACAAACACAUCCUAAACAUUGUCUAAAAUGUUCAAAUGAUAUUAAAACAGCAUGCUGACAAGUCCACAUAAUAGUUGCCAAAGGUACAUAAAAAUUUUCCAUGGAGCAAUGAAUGUUUUGGAAUUUGGACUUGGGGGUUCAAUUUGAACUUGAUUGGUCACACAUUUUCAUCAAAUGUAUGUGGUUGCUUGAGCAGAAGAGUUUACUCCUGCCUCAACGAACAUGUGCAGUAUAACAGACAUCACUUAACAUUUGAGUAGCAUUGUUGCCCUGGUUUUGAUAUUUAACAUUGAUGUUGAAUCCUCAGAACUGAACCCAGAAAUUGGCAAGCGAAAAGCCCAUUUGUUAAUUAUCUAUUGGAAAUGACAAAAUAACCUACCUACCUAAAUUAUCCUCAAAUUCUACACUAAUUUUUCCUCCAAAUGGGUCAAAGCAGUAUUAAGUAGUAAGUUGAUUGCUGUCUUCUCAUCAAACUGAUCAAAGUCAGAUUGGUUGUAACCUAUGUCAUUUAUUAUUUGAAAUAACAAAAGAAGUAUGACCAUCUCUUACUUGUACCAUUAUAAGAUCCUUUGAAAUUUGAACCCACCAAGCUUCCUCAUGGUAGGAUUCAAGAUCCCCUAGCCUCUCUCCCCAUCCACUGACCUCCAUGCAUCCAUCAAAUUCGAAACUCUUCAAGGCAAUCAAAAUAGCAAAAAUUUUUCUUCCUAUGCAUGUAGAGCACCAGCAGAAAAGACCUUUGCAAGUAUAGUGCUCUUAAACAUGACUUAAAGCUCAUAAAAACGUACAAUCAUAAUUCCUUAAAACUAAUGUGACGUUAGUAGUAUUAGUAUGCAAUUAAAUGCCUAAAAAUUUCCAACCCUUCAUAAAUAUUUCUAUAUAAGUUAAGCAAAACUUCUGUCUAUAACUAAUUUAAGUGGUAACAUUAGAUUCUAAUAAAACAUAUGCCAUUUACAUAUUCUUGCAAGAGUCACAAGUUCCAUAAAUAUUAAGUCAUUGAAUGCACCUGAAAACUGAUUCACAACUCUAUCCUAGCAUUUUUACAAAUUCACAAAGUUGAAGAUACUUGCGACAUCUGAGAUCGAAGAGACUGCACAAAGAAGUCCUGAAAGAACCAAGUACGACCUUCUUUGAUAACCAAAAACUGGGACAGAAUCGCUAAUAAACCCAUAAAGAGGUUUGACAAGCCACGGUAAUGAAGAAAAACCAGAUAUCACAGCGUCUAGCCAACCAUGUAGAUUUUCAGUCCUUGAAAACAUUAAUUCAAACAGGACUACUCUACCAUAAAACUAAACUUUCCACUCUUACACUCCAUAACCCACGGAGAUCUCACAGCAAUGUUGCCGUUUCGAUACUAAAAUGUUAAAAAAAAGAUACAUAGUGCAUGGUAAACAAAAUUAUCAAUAAGAACAGGGCUAGAGUGCACAUUGUAAAGUUGACGCAAUAACUUCUUGCACCAUUCACACUAUUCUACGACAACAAAUACACAUAAACUUAUGGUUAGGGAUAUCUAGAUAGAUAUAUACACCUGUUUUAUUUCCAAAGAAAUCAUAAAAAUGGGGGCAUAGCUCUGCAGGAUUUAGAUGCAAAUCAUCUUUCAAGUAGCAACUGGCAACAAGUCUGGAAAGGCCUAAAACUCAUUGAACAAAAUACACCAUUGCAACAGCAAUAUUAUCCGGUGACAAAUCCACCCCAAAGCAGUCGAUUCUGCUGCCAAGAUGUCUUUUUUCCGAUGCAUAAGAUGUCUGUUUUUACGCACAACACUUUUACUACUAGAGGUUGUCACUUCCUCCGCAUCUGUUGUAAGCAUUUCACCUUUAGCACCACCUAGCUCAAGCAUAAACCAGCUUAAAUACCCAAAACCAAAUAAUCACGUCUAAUAAAUACAUUCCAAUUAUUUCAAGCUUAUCAUAAUUUCAUAAUUUGAAAUUGAAGCUUGUGAUCCCAACCAUUUCAAGCACCUAAAUUCAAUCGUAUGCAAAAUAUCUAGAAAAAAAAAACUGCCGUUUUAAGCACAUUCAAAUGAAAAACUGCCCAAGAUAUGGAAGUUGACGAUUUACAAUAAUGAAUUAGUAAAUAAAUUACUAUCUACGAUAACCAAGAGCGACUCCUCCCUUCGGUCCCGCCGGUAAGAUGGCAUCGGCAUGGAAAUGUCCUUCUCCGGCCGUUUCCAUCGUGAACUCCGGCGAGCUCAGCCGCGAGCGAUGACAGGGAGGCGUUUCCGGUGAAUAUGAGAGAAAGGGGAAAAAGGAAAAAGGUGGAUUAUUGGAGGGUAAGAUUGGGAUUAAAGUAAAUUUUAAAUAGUAGUGGUAGAAGACAUAAAAGUUUCAAUCCAAGUCAACUGGUACUGACUGGUGCAAAUUUAC